This 468-nucleotide ribosomal RNA is filed under the name uncultured bacterium. Its description in RNAcentral is "partial 16S ribosomal RNA". It matches the Rfam family "Bacterial small subunit ribosomal RNA", at positions 28 to 507 of the family's 1533-position model. The record is from RNAcentral.
GACGAACGCUGGCGGCGUGCUUAACACAUGCAAGUCGAACGGAAAGGCCCUGCUUUUGUGGGGUGCUCGAGUGGCGAACGGGUGAGUAACACGUGAGUAACCUGCCCUUGACUUUGGGAUAACUUCAGGAAACUGGGGCUAAUACCGGAUAGGAGCUCCUGCUGCAUGGUGGGGGUUGGAAAGUUUCGGCGGUUGGGGAUGGACUCGCGGCUUAUCAGCUUGUUGGUGGGGUAGUGGCUUACCAAGGCUUUGACGGGUAGCCGGCCUGAGAGGGUGACCGGCCACAUUGGGACUGAGAUACGGCGCAGACUCCAACGGGAGGCAGCAGGGGGGAAUAUUGCACAAUGGGAGGAAGCCUGAUGCAGCAACGCCGCGUGCGGGAUGACGGCCUUCGGGUUGUAAACCGCUUUCGCCUGUGACGAAGCGUGAGUGACGGUAAUGGGUAAAGAAGCACCGGCUAACUACGUG